GUGUCAGCAGCCGCGGUAAUACGAGGGGUGCAAGCGUUAUUCGGAUUUAUUGGGCGUAAAGGGUGCGUAGAUGGUUUGUUAAGUCUGCUGUCAAAUUCUCUGACCUAAUCGGAGGUCGGCGGUGGAAACUGGCAAUCUAGAGUGUGGAAGAGAGGAGUGGAAUUCCCGGAGUAGCGGUAAAAUGCACAGAUCUCGGGAGGAACACCAAUGGCGAAGGCAGCUCCUUGGUCCACUACUGACAUUGAGGCACGAAAGCGUGGGGAGCAAACAGGAUUAGAUACCCCCGUAGUCC
This 292-nucleotide ribosomal RNA is filed under the name uncultured bacterium. Its description in RNAcentral is "partial 16S ribosomal RNA". It matches the Rfam family "Bacterial small subunit ribosomal RNA", at positions 505 to 796 of the family's 1533-position model. The record is from RNAcentral.